Molecule: ribosomal RNA, 1452 nt
Filed under: Pseudonocardia sp. CASMBPK9
Lineage: Bacteria; Bacillati; Actinomycetota; Actinomycetes; Pseudonocardiales; Pseudonocardiaceae
Description: 16S ribosomal RNA
Rfam family: Bacterial small subunit ribosomal RNA
Source: RNAcentral
CUGCCCUUCAGAGUUUGAUCCUGGCUCAGGACGAACGCUGGCGGCGUGCUUAACACAUGCAAGUCGAGCGGUAAGGCCCUUUCGGGGGUACACGAGCGGCGAACGGGUGAGUAACACGUGGGUGACCUGCCCUCCACUCUGGGAUAAGCCCGGGAAACUGGGUCUAAUACCGGAUAGGACCACUGAUCGCAUGGUUGGUGGUGGAAAGUUUUUUCGGUGGGGGAUGCGCCCGCGGCCUAUCAGCUUGUUGGUGGGGUGAUGGCCUACCAAGGCGGUGACGGGUAGCCGGCCUGAGAGGGCGACCGGCCACACUGGGACUGAGACACGGCCCAGACUCCUACGGGAGGCAGCAGUGGGGAAUAUUGCGCAAUGGGCGGAAGCCUGACGCAGCGACGCCGCGUGGGGGAUGACGGCCUUCGGGUUGUAAACCUCUUUCGCCAGGGACGAAGAGCAAUUGACGGUACCUGGAGAAGAAGCACCGGCCAACUACGUGCCAGCAGCCGCGGUAACACGUAGGGUGCGAGCGUUGUCCGGAAUUAUUGGGCGUAAAGAGCUCGUAGGCGGUGUGUCGCGUCGGCCGUGAAAACUUGGGGCUUAACUCUGAGCGUGCGGUCGAUACGGGCAUCACUUGAGUUCGGCAGGGGAGACUGGAAUUCCUGGUGUAGCGGUGAAAUGCGCAGAUAUCAGGAGGAACACCGGUGGCGAAGGCGGGUCUCUGGGCCCAUACUGACGCUGAGGAGCGAAAGCGUGGGGAGCGAACAGGAUUAGAUACCCUGGUAGUCCACGCCGUAAACGUUGGGCGCUAGGUGUGGGGACCAUUCCACGGUUUCUGUGCCGCAGCUAACGCAUUAAGCGCCCCGCCUGGGGAGUACGGCCGCAAGGCUAAAACUCAAAGGAAUUGACGGGGGCCCCCACAAGCGGCGGAGCAUGUGGAUUAAUUCGAUGCAACGCGAAGAACCUUACCUGGGUUUGACAUGCACCAGACAUCCCUAGAGAUAGGGCUUCCCUUGUGGUUGGUGUGCAGGUGGUGCAUGGCUGUCGUCAGCUCGUGUCGUGAGAUGUUGGGUUAAGUCCCGCAACGAGCGCAACCCUUAUUCCAUGUUGCCAGCACGUAAUGGUGGGGACUCAUGGGAGACUGCCGGGGUCAACUCGGAGGAAGGUGGGGAUGACGUCAAGUCAUCAUGCCCCUUAUGUCCAGGGCUUCACACAUGCUACAAUGGCUCAUACAGAGGGCUGCGAGACCGUGAGGUGGAGCGAAUCCCUUAAAGUGAGUCUCAGUUCGGAUCGGGGUCUGCAACUCGACCCCGUGAAGUUGGAGUCGCUAGUAAUCGCAGAUCAGCAACGCUGCGGUGAAUACGUUCCCGGGCCUUGUUCACACCGCCCGUCACGUCACGAAAGUUGGUAACACCCGAAGCCGGCGGCCCAACCCUUGUGGAGGGAGCUGUCGAAGGU